UUGGCGGUAGUAGAAGAACUAUAUUUUCCUUCCAAGAAAAAGGUCCUUUAUUUUUAGGUCGCUAUA
RNAcentral lists this transfer RNA (66 nucleotides) under Xylonora corona. Its description in RNAcentral is "tRNA-Gly". The record is from RNAcentral. Lineage: Eukaryota; Metazoa; Mollusca; Bivalvia; Myida; Xylophagaidae.